Lactuca sativa (garden lettuce) is the source of this 652-nucleotide long non-coding RNA. RefSeq lists it as uncharacterized. Lineage: Eukaryota; Viridiplantae; Streptophyta; Magnoliopsida; Asterales; Asteraceae. The record is from RefSeq and is a predicted model, not a curated record.
GAUGGUAAGAAAGUAUUCCAUCGCUCCUCUCCUCAUGAUCCCCUGUACGAGUACAAAUAUAGUAUAAAAGUAACUUGUAUAUUUUAUAGGUAAUUUCUGAUACUUAUUUGGAGGAUGGAAGGAAGAACGAAUAGCCCUAAAGGCAUGGGUAGAGUAUUCUGUCUCCCUCCCACUCAAAUUGAUCUUAGCCAUGGAUAUCUUCUUCAAAAAUUGGAUUCAUAAAAUGAAUUUGUAUUCUUUCUUUACCAUUCUCUCUGUUGUCUUCAUAAUUUUUUCCUAAAAUGAGUGUGCUUGGAUGGAAUUAGAGAGGUUGCUAAGGAGGGAGUUGACGAGAAUGGUGCUGGAUAUUCGGGUGUAGAACAUGCUCAUGAAAAGUGCACAUAAAGUGUUUGUACAAAUGCCCAAGAAAGAAAACAAGGUGUAGACAUUGUUGAAGCUGAGAGAUUCUUCACCAAACUCCUCCUAAUUGAGGCACUCCUUGAAAUGAGUAUGAAUCCAGAUGUAUGUGCUAUUUUGCACAUGUUUCUAUCUCAUAGAAGUUAUUAUUUUGGGAGGUUGGAAGAGGAAUCUCUUAGAUAUUGUUUUGUUGUUGUGGUAAGAACUAAGAACAAAACCCUUUUCUAUGGUAAUUGAUUAUAUGUUACUUAGUCUA